RNAcentral lists this long non-coding RNA (653 nucleotides) under Anas platyrhynchos platyrhynchos (common mallard). RNAcentral describes it as "lncRNA (ENSAPLG00000021631.1)". The record is from RNAcentral. Lineage: Eukaryota; Metazoa; Chordata; Aves; Anseriformes; Anatidae.
GGGACCGGUGUUGGAGCAGUUUGCUCCUGGGGUUUGGAUCCUGUGGUACAGACCCAUGUUGGAGCAGUUCUUGAAGAACUGCGGCCUGUGGGCAGCUCUUUCAAUCAUAUUUUCUCCCCCCUUUCCUUUGAGGUGGGGGAGUGAGAGAACAGUUGGGGUGAAGUUCAGCUGCCUACCAGGGUAAAACCACCACAGGCUGUAACCUUUAGCUCCACCUUGUUAUUUAUGAAGCCUUUCAAAUACAAUAUUCCCAGCAUGAAUGAUCUCCAUUCCUUUCCUGCCCAUGGAAGAAAAAUAUGUCAUUGCUUGCCUUACCACAUACAGUUGGAUCUUGUAUUCCAGAAGCUCUCUGGGAGGACCUUAUUCUCAGUGGCAAGGCACAUCCAGGCUGAUGACACUGAAAGAAUUGAUGAAUGUACAAUGAAGUUGGGCAUACUGAUGCACAUCAGCAUAGGUGAAUCAUUUCCUUAUGUCUGAGAUAUCAGGAUAUGAAGGAAGAUUACUUUCACAGACAAACAAGAGACAGCUGCCCUUGAUAAUGUAAGAUUUAUUCUUAACAUUCUUUUCAAAGGAUCCUUUUCUGUCCAAAUUUUCAUAAUGCAACAAGACUUUUCAAAACAUUGUGUGAAUAAGAGAGGCAAGGCAAGGCAAGA